GAUGAACGCUGGCGGCGUGCCUAAUACAUGCAAGUCGAGCGAACAGACGAGGAGCUUGCUCCUCUGACGUUAGCGGCGGACGGGUGAGUAACACGUGGAUAACCUACCUAUAAGACUGGGAUAACUUCGGGAAACCGGAGCUAAUACCGGAUAAUAUAUUGAACCGCAUGGUUCAAUAGUGAAAGACGGUUUUGCUUUAACUUAUAGAUGGAUCCGCGCCGCAUUAGCUAGUUGGUAAGGUAAGGGCUUACCAAGGCAACGAUGCGUAGCCGACCUGAGAGGGUGAUCGGCCACACUGGAACUGAGACACGGUCCAGACUCCUACGGGAGGCAGCAGUAGGGAAUCUUCCGCAAUGGGCGAAAGCUUGCCGGAGCAACGCCGCGUGAGUGAUGAAGGUCUUCGGAUCGUAAAACUUUGUUAUUAGGGAAGAACAAAUGUAUAAGUAACUAUGCACGUCUUGACGGUACCUAAUCAGAAAGCCACGGCUAACUACGUG
This 497-nucleotide ribosomal RNA is filed under the name uncultured bacterium. RNAcentral's name for it is "partial 16S ribosomal RNA". It matches the Rfam family "Bacterial small subunit ribosomal RNA", at positions 28 to 507 of the family's 1533-position model. The record is from RNAcentral.